This 380-nucleotide ribosomal RNA is filed under the name uncultured eukaryote. RNAcentral's name for it is "partial 18S ribosomal RNA". It matches the Rfam family "Eukaryotic small subunit ribosomal RNA", at positions 592 to 976 of the family's 1831-position model. The record is from RNAcentral.
CAAUAGCGUAUAUUAAAGUUGUUGCAGUUAGAACGCUCGUAGUCGGAUUUCGGGGCGGGUCGACCGGUCUGCCGAUGGGUACGCACUGGCCGACGCGUCCUUUUUGCCGGAGACCGUCCCUACUCUUAACUGAGCGGGGUCGGGAGACGGCACUUUUACUUUAAAAAAAUCAGAGUGUUUCAAGCAGGCAGCUCGCUCUUGCAUGGAUUAGCAUGGGAUAAUGAAAUAGGACUUUGGUGCUAUUUUGUUGGUUUCGAACACCGAAGUAAUGAUGAGAAGGGACAGUCAGGGGCACUCGUAUUCCGCCGAGAGAGGUGAAAUUCUCAGACCAGCGGAAGACGAACCACUGCGAAAGCAUUUGCCAGGGAUGUUUUCACUGA